Molecule: long non-coding RNA, 2784 nt
Organism: Phymastichus coffea
Lineage: Eukaryota; Metazoa; Arthropoda; Insecta; Hymenoptera; Eulophidae
Exons: 5
Source: RefSeq, a predicted model, not a curated record
GCUGCUGCUCACUCUGUCAAAUAUAUCUGAUUUUCGUUCUAUCUGUGUGGCAGUGCUCUUACUUGACGAAUUAACUUGACAUUAACUUGAUGAAUAGUUUAUUGUCAUUUUCUUACAUACCAACGUCAUUUUCUAAUGUUGAAUAAUUAUUCCAUUCAGGAUUAAAAUUAGAAUCUCAAAUUUAUCUCAUAUAAUAUCUCAUAUAGCUCGUACACAAAAAAAUUAUGUCGCAAUUUUGGUUCAGUUGUUAUCAGUGUAUCAAUGAUCAGUGCAAAUUACCAGACAAUAAAUUAACAAUUUGCAAGACUGCAUUUAACUGCUGGAAAUCUUCUCUUCGAGAAAUCGGUAACAAGAUACAACAUUCUCGUGGUUGUAUUUCUACACUGCACCAAAGUCAAGAUAUUUGCAAUAAUAUAACACAGGCAAGUCAUUAUGAGUAUGGUUAUAAUUGUUGUCAAGAGGAAUUGUGCAACGGUGGCGAUUUUCCUGAACUACUACGAUAUCGUUAUGCAGAUAAAUAUUUGUUCUGGUUGUUUUUUAUAUUCAAUGGAAUUUUAAUAGCACUCGGCGUAGCUGUUGCAUUCUACUUUAAUGUAGUUCUCAGAAUACGACGCAGAGGCGGAUUACAGCAAAGACCACCGAAUGUGGUAAGGAUAGUAGAUAGGGACGACAUAUGAAGGGCAUCAUUAGACCCAUUUAGAGAGACCCUUUUAAAGAGCACCUGAUGUUACCGUUCCGAUAUUACUCUAAACUAUCAAUGAUAGCAUAGCUCAAAUAAUUUCAUGAAAAACUUUCCAACAAUCAAAGUUUGACGAGCGAUUUAAACUUAGCUUUCACGAUAAUAUUCAAUAUUUAUAGACUUAUCGACAAUCCGACAUCGACAGCUUGAACUUCGUAUUUUGGAAGUAUCGCAUGUGCGUUGAAGACGUCGAUUCAAAAUAAGCUUCGUUUUCCCAGUGACUAGGUAUUGACGAACGAGAGCCGAUAACCGAUUGGAUGAAAAAUUGAUUGUCGUUAAUCGAGGGUCUGGAAUUCUUAAUAAUUGGCAUACGCAUCUGAUUUAUUGAAAAAGGCAAUCUUACUGUACUUCAAAUUUUUUUCAACGCUCAGCCAAAAAUGUACAUUUAAAAACGUGCUUUCGAAAACGAGCGCUUAAAAAUGAAGUUGUAUCGAAAAAUACUAUACGAUACAUGUUCAGGAAAAAGAUCUUGAUUUUGUAUAUCUAUCGUUUGUAAACGCCACACGAGACGAGAAUCUACUUUUCCGCUCUUGUAUCGUAAAAUAUUGUAACUUGGAUGACGUUUGAAUUUUCAGAUAAUGAAUUUAUUGGCAUCUCUGAUUUAAACUCCUUGGCAAGCGAACGCACCAGCCGUUGACCGAUUCGAUAAGUUAAGAAGACGCUUUCGGUACCUUCAAAGAAUUAAUCAUUCACUUUAAUUUCAUGAUGAUUUCACUGGAAAAACAUUCUUAUAAAAGUUUUUUUUGACUUGAAAUAUUUUUUGAAACAUAUUUCUUUUAUUUUUAAUAUUUUUUUGAUAAACUGGUGCUUUAUCACGUAGCUACAAUUUGAACUUUGUACAACUAUAAUAUAUAUUCCAGUUUAUCAUUUAAAUUAUCAUUAUCGUUAUUAUUAUUAUAUUAUUAUUGAAGAACGAAAAAUAUUCUGUAAAAAUCUGAAAAAAAUUAAGUUAUUUCCGAUAAAUGUUAGAAUUAGCCAAAUAGAAUUGUGGUGGAACGUGAAUGCAAGAGUAGGAUUAUUUUAGUGAUGGAAUCGCUUGUACAUACUAUAGUAAUAGUUAAUGUGCUAACUUUGCUACCUCGAAUUUAUUUGUCCGCUUUUUACAAUAAAUGUUCAAAGGUAAAAAUUGCAAAAAAUAUAAACGAAUAAUAUGCAUAGAAAUAACAUUGUUGAGUACAAAAUUUGCAAUACAAUACAGUGGUUUAAAACUGUAAAAUUCAAUUUGCCUCGGCAUCAGUGGUAGAAAACAAACACUUUGUUUCUGAAAAAUAGCUUAGUUUGCACUUAGCAUUUCAAUUGAUAAUAUCAACAGAUAUUACUGUUGUGUACUCUUUGAAAACUACUUUCUGUUAAAAACCGAACGAAGAAGAUAAUUAAUUCUAUAUUUCAUUUGGUUUCUGUACCACCGCAUUCAAAAUUAUAUGAUCUUUUGCAAUAACAUACAUGAUGGAAGAAAUCACCGACUCGUGCCUAAUGCUGUGAGGAUGCAACCACUGUAUAAUAUAAUGAAAUUGAUAAUUGUUAAAUACUAAAUGACCAAAUGAUUUUUUAAAAAUAUUUCUGAUCUAGACAUAGAUAACAAAUGGAAUAUAUCUGUGAUAUUAUGUUGUAAUAAAAAUUUGAAAACCUAUGUACAAUGCUGAAAAAUAACUCGCAGAAACAUGUCUUAUCUACGUCGAAAACGUACCAAAGAAAUCAUGGCAUAUGAGUCUUAAUACCUUCUUCUGAUCUAUAUGUUCUUGUAAAUAAAUUGUAUAAUCUUAUCCAUCGAACGAUAACUAAAAAAAUAUUUAUCUUGUAACUAAAAGAAAUAUUGAUAAUAUUUCAUUAGAUGCUUGCAUAAUUGAAGAUAUAUGAAUAAUGUUCAUAAGUUUUAUCGACGCACAAGGAAAUUUGACUGAUUUAAGUUUACGACUUACUUUACAUUUUCAAGUGAUAAUAAACUUCUAGCUGCAUCUGUUUUGCUCUUGUACCAUUGCACGAUUAAAAAUACACAUAUAUAAUUAACCAAAUAACAUGAUUUCAUAUUCACAUUGACUAUUUAU